RNAcentral lists this ribosomal RNA (245 nucleotides) under uncultured bacterium. RNAcentral describes it as "partial 16S ribosomal RNA". It matches the Rfam family "Bacterial small subunit ribosomal RNA", at positions 524 to 768 of the family's 1533-position model. The record is from RNAcentral.
UACGGAGGGUGCAAGCAUUGAUCGGAAUUACUGGGUGUAAAGGGCGCGUAGGCGGCAGGAAAAGUCUGAUGUGAAAUUCCGGGGCUCAACCCCGGAGCUGCAUUAGAAACUAUCCAGCUAGAGGUUAGUAAGGGAAAACGGAAUUCCACGUGUAGCGGUGAAAUGCGUAGAUAUGUGGAAGAACACCGGUGGUGAAGACGGUUUUCUGUGCUAAACCUGACGCUGAGGCGCGAAAGCUAGGGGAG